GAAAUUUUCGUGGAUAGUCACUGAACUUCUCUUAGCCAAGAAGUCUCGCUCUAAGAGACAAAGUGUACGAUCAUUUGAUUGCAAAUGGCACUGAGCCUGGCACUGGAGGACUACUGAUGCUGAUAUGCCAGACAUCAAAGAUAACAUGAAGGCACUAGUGAUCAAGAGAAGGAUAAGAAUGAAGAGAAUCAAAAUGAUGAAUUGGAGUAGCAACACAUGAAAUCGAGGUUGCUAGGAAAAUGGAUGCAUAUGGCGAGAUGAUAACAUAUGGAGUACAAAUCAGAUAUAUUAGAUCUAGUUUUAGAUUACCAUAUGAAUACGUACAUUCUUGUUGGAUGAUUUUGAUUUUAGAUUGAAAAUAUAUGUUGUUUUAUUUCAUUAGUUUAUUAUUUAUGAAAGUAGCUCUAAUAAGUGUACAAUAUUCUAUUAUUAUUAAAAUAUAUAUAAUUGUCAUUUCAUA
Beta vulgaris subsp. vulgaris (sugar beet) is the source of this 460-nucleotide long non-coding RNA. RefSeq lists it as uncharacterized. Lineage: Eukaryota; Viridiplantae; Streptophyta; Magnoliopsida; Caryophyllales; Amaranthaceae. The transcript has 3 exons. The record is from RefSeq and is a predicted model, not a curated record.